This 253-nucleotide ribosomal RNA is filed under the name uncultured bacterium. RNAcentral describes it as "partial 16S ribosomal RNA". It matches the Rfam family "Bacterial small subunit ribosomal RNA", at positions 524 to 776 of the family's 1533-position model. The record is from RNAcentral.
UACGUAGGGCGCAAGCGUUGUCCGGAAUUAUUGGGCGUAAAGAGCUCGUAGGCGGUUUGUCGCGUCUGCUGUGAAAACCUGAGGCUCAACCUCGGGCUUGCAGUGGGUACGGGCAGACUAGAGUGCGGUAGGGGUGACUGGAAUUCCUGGUGUAGCGGUGGAAUGCGCAGAUAUCAGGAGGAACACCGGUGGCGAAGGCGGGUCUCUGGGCCGUAACUGACGCUGAGGAGCGAAAGCAUGGGGAGCGAACAGG